AGGAGGAACAACAAGUGGCGGUGGCCAGCUCUGGAGCCCUGGAGUCAGCCCCCGCAGUAGCUCCAGAGCUCUCCGUCUGCAGGGCCUGGAGGCUCCGGGGCGGG
Molecule: non-coding RNA, 104 nt
Organism: Canis lupus familiaris (dog)
Lineage: Eukaryota; Metazoa; Chordata; Mammalia; Carnivora; Canidae
Source: Rfam